CCUACGGGAGGCAGCAGUGAGGAAUAUUGGUCAAUGGACGGAAGUCUGAACCAGCCAUGCCGCGUGCAGGAAGACGGCUCUAUGAGUUGUAAACUGCUUUUGUACAAGGGUAAACCUGAAUACGUGUAUUCAGCUGAACGUACUGUACGAAUAAGGAUCGGCUAACUCCGUGCCAGCAGCCGCGGUAAUACGGAGGAUCCAAGCGUUAUCCGGAUUUAUUGGGUUUAAAGGGUGCGUAGGCGGGUUGCUAAGUUAGAGGUGAAAUGUCCGGGCUCAACUCGGGAACUGCCUCUAAUACUGUUGAUCUAGAGCGUAGGUGCGGUAGGCGGAAUGUCUGGUGUAGCGGUGCAAUGCUUAG
RNAcentral lists this ribosomal RNA (358 nucleotides) under uncultured bacterium. RNAcentral describes it as "partial 16S ribosomal RNA". It matches the Rfam family "Bacterial small subunit ribosomal RNA", at positions 338 to 693 of the family's 1533-position model. The record is from RNAcentral.